GAUGGUCAAUUGUAUUUGCUUCCGAUCGCAUUACAUUAUUGGUUACUGAUGAAGGUUGAAAAACAGUUAUUUUCAUAUGUCAAUUUGGACCAAAUUACACCCUUUACUACUCGGAAUGAGCUUAGAAUCAAGCAAAACUCAAUAAAUGAGUUUGUAGAGAGUCAAAAGUUGUUUUUAGCGAUUUUAUGCUUAUUUUGCAUUGUUUUGUAGCUAAUUUGAGAAAAGUAAGAAUGGAGUUGAAGAUACAGGUCGUUGACUCAAGAAAAGAGCAGAAAAACGAAGUUUUGAAGAGUCGACGUACCGCCCAGCGACACACUUAAACCGUCGGGCGGUCCAGGACGAGGAGUAGGCAGGGCAUUUGACACUGAGGGAAACCGCCGGGCGCUGGCGAUUGCCGCCGAGCGGUGGCGGCAGGUUAUGGGAAACCGUCGGGCGGCACACUUAAACUGCCCGGCGGUGGCUCGCUGGACUUGGGUUUGUUUUUGACGCGCUCCUCACCUAUAAAUACCCCUAUUACGAAUUUAGAGUCAUUCUUUUGACAGGGGAGAACGGCCAGACCUAAUUUUGCUCUCUGAAGAGGAUCUCUUGGAUGCUUAGGCUCCUUUUCAUCUUUUCUAGGGUUUGCUCUUCCAUUCUUCUUCCAUUUUUCAUCUAGUUUCACCAUGUCUAUGGUGAACUAAACCCUAUAAUUGUUGGGAAAAACAAUGUAAUCUUUUGAUACUCUCUCUUAUUGAAACUAUUGAUUAUUUAUAUCGUCUCCAUAUGUUUUGAUUGAUUAUUGUUGGGUUAUCAUCUGUGCUUAAGGCCUUUAUCAUUUAACUCAUUCGGUAUAUUGAUGUUUGUCUUUAUUGAUAUGGGGACGUACAGUAAUGACAUGAACUGGUGAGUAAUCUCUUGAUUUUGCAAUACCACCUAGGGAUAGGGCUAGGACGAUCAAUUGCGCUAACUUCUGUUUAUAAUGCGGUAUUAAUUACUAGGGGAGGCUAAGGAUAGCAAGUCGGUAGUUAAUAUUAGGCCCUUUUCGCCGAGGGAUCUGGUUAAGGGGAGGCUAAGAAAGUCGUAUAACAAUUGAAUCAAUCAACUAAUGGUCAAGGGUAGUAUGUAAGAGAGAGUGGAAUAGAUGAAAUUAUUAGUACCCAACAACAUCCAUCCAUCCAGUGUUUUCGUUUGUUAAUUGAAUCAACUUUAUUUUUGCAUGUUAAUAUUUUUAUCCUCAAAUCCAAUUUAUUAAUUUUUAUUUUUCAAGUCUUAUUAUUUUAAUUCACGUGAACGAGGAAGCCAUACGAGUUUCUUGGGAAAACGAUAAUUGGUCUUACCAUUUAUAUUACUUGUACGAUUUGGUACACUUGCCAAUUUGUCAACAAGAUUUUGGUGCCGUUGCUGGGGACUCGAGGUUUAUUUUUCUUGUAGUGUGAAUUGAUUGAAUUUGACUUGAUUUUAUGUUUAUUUUUAUUUUUGUUCUAAUAAAUGUUUUCUAGGGUUUUGUGCCUAAUGUUUGCAGAAUGCAGUUUAGACAAGAAUUUGAUUAUGUGGGCACUCAAUUCUACCAAAAUGAUUUCAACCACUGUGGGGAUCCUUAUUCAAAAAUAUACCGAAACCAGUUAGGGCAUCAAUCCUCUUCACGAAAAGAAACGAUAGGGGAAGCUAAAGAACGUUUACGGCAGGAACUAUUCUCUGUACCAGAAGAAACGUUGGGGGAAGUCUAACAAUUCUUGCGGCAACACGUAUUCUCUGGACCAAAAGAAACGUUGGGGGAAGCUCAAUAACGUUUACAACAAAAACAAUCUCCUGUACGCAAAGAAACAUUGGGGGAAGCUCAAGAACGUCUAUUGUAGGAACAACACUCUCAUGUUUUGAAGUCUCUGGGCAUUAUUAGGGAUAAUACUGAAGUUAACCCUGAAAAAGAAUAUCAAGCCACUAUCUCUAAAAAUGAUAAGGUUGUCAAGGAGGAAAAGAUAGAGGAAGAAGAGAAAGAGAGAGAUUUAAAAGAAGAAGGAAAAGAAGAGUUGGUUGAGGAAGAUAAAGAUGAUGAGGGAGAAAAAGGAGUGGUUAAGAAAAAAGAAAAAAAGAAAAAAUAUUCAAAAAUAAAGAAGAAAAGAAGAAAAGAGAAAAGAGGAAAGUUGAGGAGAGAGAAGAAAAGGAAGAGAGGUAAAAAGAAAAGAUCUUGUGAAAAACCCCUUCCUCAUAAAAAGAAAUAUCAUAGUAAGGAA
This 2210-nucleotide long non-coding RNA is filed under the name Vigna radiata. RNAcentral's name for it is "long non-coding RNA (VRAD_LNC001131)". Lineage: Eukaryota; Viridiplantae; Streptophyta; Magnoliopsida; Fabales; Fabaceae. The record is from RNAcentral.